UUAAAGUCCAUUCUCAGUUCGGAUUGUAGGCUGAAACUCGCCUACAUGAAGCUGGAGUUACUAGUAAUCGCAGAUCAGAAUGCUGCGGUGAAUGCGUUCCCGGGUCUUGUACACACCGCCCGUCACACCACGGAAGUUGGGGGCGCCCGAAGCCACUUAGCUAACCCUUUGGGAAGCGAGUGUCGAAGGUGAAAUCAAUAACUGGGGUGAAGUCGUAACAAGGUAUC
This 227-nucleotide ribosomal RNA is filed under the name uncultured bacterium. RNAcentral describes it as "partial 16S ribosomal RNA". It matches the Rfam family "Bacterial small subunit ribosomal RNA", at positions 1275 to 1500 of the family's 1533-position model. The record is from RNAcentral.